AGUAUGAUUUUUUUUUUAAUCUCACGUCUAAAUUUGCUCCUUUUCAGUUUCUAAUCGUUGCUCUUCUGUCUUCUGGAACCAAGAUGAGAAGACUGAGGCCAAAGAAGGUGAAGUGAUGGUCACACAGAGCUGGAAGGAUCUCGAGAUGGAAAAUGAAGCCAGGGAGUGGACCGAGGCAGGGAGUCCAGCAGGAAUUUUCCUCUGAUCCUCAGCAGGCGAUUAGUUAACAGAAAUCUUACAGGCUCUUCUGGGGUUAGUCAUCAAACCUUCUAUUUCCAACAGCUCAAAAAAAUAAAAUAAAAUAAACCACAACA
Molecule: long non-coding RNA, 314 nt
Filed under: Monodelphis domestica (gray short-tailed opossum)
Lineage: Eukaryota; Metazoa; Chordata; Mammalia; Didelphimorphia; Didelphidae
Description: lncRNA (ENSMODG00000044319.1)
Source: RNAcentral